GAGCGUGGAGACGUACAAGAUCUACAUCUUCAAGGUGCUGAAGCAGGUGCACCCCGACAUCGGCAUCUCCUCCAAGGCCAUGUCCAUCAUGAACUCCUUCAUCAACGACAUCUUCGAGAAGCUCGCCGCCGAGGCCGCCAAGCUCGCCCGCUACAACAAGAAGCCCACCAUCACCUCCCGGGAGAUCCAGACCUCCGUCCGCCUCGUCCUCCCCGGGGAGCUCGCCAAGCACGCCGUCUCCGAGGGCACCAAGGCCGUCACCAAGUUCACCUCCUCCUAGAUUGCAUCUGCAUUGCUUGUAUCUAUCUAUCUAUCUAUCUAGUAGCGACUGUAGCUGGUUCUGUUACUUCAGUGCUUAUCGACUCUGGUUAUCUGGAACUACAAAUGCUGUUAGUGCUGAAUGGGGAAUUGAUUGAUGGAUGAUUGCCAAUGCUCUGUUGCCUCUUUGGCUGUAA
This 455-nucleotide long non-coding RNA is filed under the name Triticum aestivum (bread wheat). Its description in RNAcentral is "long non-coding RNA (TAES_LNC006746)". Lineage: Eukaryota; Viridiplantae; Streptophyta; Magnoliopsida; Poales; Poaceae. The record is from RNAcentral.